GACGAACCGUGCGAACGUUAUUCGGAAUCAUUGGGCUUAAAGGGCGCGUAGGCGGCGGCGUAAGUUGGAAGUGAAAUCCCAUCGGCUCAACCGUGGAAUUGCUCCCAGUACUGCGUCGCUCGAGGGGGAUAGGGGUCUGCGGAACUACCGGUGGAGCGGUGAAAUGUGUUGAUAUCGGUGGGAACGCCAGUGGCGAAAGCGGCAGACUGGGCCAUUCCUGACGCUGAGGCGCGAAAGCUAGGGGAGCAAACGGG
Molecule: ribosomal RNA, 254 nt
Filed under: uncultured bacterium
Lineage: Bacteria
Description: partial 16S ribosomal RNA
Rfam family: Bacterial small subunit ribosomal RNA
Source: RNAcentral